GGCGCUAUAGCCAAGUGGUUACGGCGACAGAUUUGAAUCUUAUGCAUUAUCUGUUCCUCUUUGAGGGCGCAGGUUCGAACCCUGCUGGCGUCG
Molecule: non-coding RNA, 93 nt
Organism: Rhodocollybia butyracea
Lineage: Eukaryota; Fungi; Basidiomycota; Agaricomycetes; Agaricales; Omphalotaceae
Source: the annotation of a GenBank genome assembly